Pseudonaja textilis is the source of this 152-nucleotide non-coding RNA. The record is from RefSeq and is a predicted model, not a curated record. Lineage: Eukaryota; Metazoa; Chordata; Lepidosauria; Squamata; Elapidae.
AUAUAUAUAAUAAGUGAGUACAAAUAAAUGGGGACAAAAGGACAGAGAUGGUAGACACAAUGGUGCACUUAAUGCACGUCCUUUACAGACCUCUUAGGAAUAGGGUGAGGUCAAUAGUGGAUAGUUUGAGGUUAAAGGAGUGAGGGGCUUAG